Molecule: long non-coding RNA, 523 nt
Filed under: Numida meleagris (helmeted guineafowl)
Lineage: Eukaryota; Metazoa; Chordata; Aves; Galliformes; Numididae
Description: lncRNA (ENSNMEG00000010810.1)
Source: RNAcentral
GAAGAAAUUUUUCCUCAUAUCCAACCUGAAGUUAAACAACAAAUGUUGCUUGUGGACAGUUCUAUUCCUGGAUAACUUGGGAUUGCACCAUGCUUAUAGAUCAGUUCAAUUGAUGUAACAAGCCUUGCUUGACUCCUCAUAGAGUCUUUCAUCACAUCUUCUCUCAACACACGCUUAGCAGCAUCCUCAGUCUGGUUCAGUGUGUUGCUUACACUGGUACAGACAGCUUGGGAAACUGGCACAGAGUGGUGCAUGUGGCCAUUCCUAUGUGGAGCAGUCCCAGCUGGUGUGGAACGCACAGGUAUCCAUGCUGCUUUUCUUCGAUUGUAUCUGGAUGUGAUCACCACAAGACUGCACAAGAUAUCAGAAAAAUGGAGUGACCCUAUAGCCAAACUUUGAGCUAUGUGAACAAUUGCCCAACUGCCCAGGGAUCAGAAGAGGAGAGACAGCACUUGAUGCAGAGGAGAUAAGUUGAUGGCACUUGUUUUAUUCAUGACCCUUGUGAGCUAAAAUGGGAGGUAGU